Molecule: long non-coding RNA, 1422 nt
Organism: Dromaius novaehollandiae (emu)
Lineage: Eukaryota; Metazoa; Chordata; Aves; Casuariiformes; Dromaiidae
Exons: 5
Source: RefSeq, a predicted model, not a curated record
CAGCGCGGGCCAGGGCGUGCGCUCGCCCCUGCGGACGCAGCCUGGAGGAGUGUGUGUGGGGGUGUCUGCGCGGGGGUCUGGAUGUGUCCAGCAGCGGCACGGCAGCCUGAUGCCUCCUCUCGUCUGGGACGCGGGUUCCUUGGCAGCUCUUCUGGGAUGCGGGGCCCUUGGGUAGUCCACCGAAGGGGGACAUCUCGAAGAGAAGCAGCGAGACCUGGGGAUCCGGUUGUUCGUUUUGGUCGUCGCCUGUGAGGCCAGCAUCCGAGCGUAAGAGGAAUCUAGGCGCUGUCUCGAAAAGAGAUGGCACCAAGGACAGCAAAUGCUGACAAAGAGAAGAGACGGACAAGCAUUUUCUUGUGAUUAAUACCGAAGGGACGGGAUGAAACAAGGAAGCCAAAAUGCAGUGGACCCUCGAUAUCACCAGGAACUGCUACAGGAGGCGGCGUUCUGGCACGGGUAACUAAGGGCGAUGGAUUUUACUCUGCCUCCAUCAACAGGCGCUGGCUGGCAAAGUCGUCGUGUCCCAGCGGAGACUCUUAGGCAGGACGGGAGGAGUUCGGAUCCGCAGCCUGCCAGAAGAGCGUCGCCCGGGAGGGGUCGCUAGCCUUGAGCUACAGGCGCUGGUGCUGAAGCCCAGUCGGGCAGUCGAAGGAGCCUCAUCGCAGCUGGGAGCUCUGCGGAGAUGCGUGGCCGGCUGUGGAGGAUGAGCUCUGACUUGCGGCAUGGACACGGCUAAGUCCUGGGCUGCAUCGUACGCGAGUGGGGCUGGGAGGUGCGAGGCGUUCGUCCCCUAGCCGUGGUCACUGUGGCCGUUUGCCCACGGAGCUGAGAGGACCAAACAUACUAAUUGCCUGACCCAGAGAUGAAUUAGUGCUUGCAGGCUUUCAGGUAGGUUCAGUGCAAGUGCAGCUUAGUGCAGUCCUGUGGAGUGACGCUUGCACAUGCUCACAUUUGAAUGGUGGCUAAAACCAAGCCUCUAAACAGCAACUGUAACGCAAUUCUGGUGCUUGUCUUCCUGUUCUGCUGUACUUCUAAAGGAAGGGAAAGCUUCCUAAGCUGCGGGCAAAACUCCUUGGCUUCUCUUGACUGUUUCCAUGCUCUGGAAACAGCUUUGGGUGCUUUGGUGCUUGUUGCUUAAAGCUGAGGGUUUGGAAUUUUUCACUUAAGGUUGAUUGUUUAGCUUGCUGCUGAGGGUCUCUCACGCAGGAGUUACGGGUUAUUCCUUUCUUUUGUGGGGCUCACUCUUUAUCAGUCAGGGUUUACAGUUUGCUCAUGUAGCAAUCGGGGCGCAGAAUUUAAAAUCCAACCCCAUCCCUUGUCCCGAUCCAAUAUCGGGGGGGUUUCGUUACGAUCCCAAGGACGUGAUUAAGACGCUAAAACCGGUCAAAUAUCGUACAACCGUUUAACAUUAUUUUCCACAAA